UCCAGACUCCUACGGGAGGCAGCAGUCGGGAAUAUUGCACAAUGGAGGAAACUCUGAUGCAGUGACGCCGCGUGCAGGAAGAAGGUUUUAGGAUUGUAAACUGCUUUAGACAGGGAAGAAAAAAGACAGUACCUGUAGAAUAAGCUCCGGCUAACUACGUGCCAGCAGCCGCGGUAAUACGUAGGGAGCGAGCGUUAUCCGGAAUUAUUGGGUGUAAAGGGUGCGUAGACGGGUAAAUAAGUUAGUUGUGAAAUCCCGCGGCUCAACUGAGGAACUGCAACUAAAACUGUAUAUCUUGAGUGCGGGAGAGGAAAGUGGAAUUCCUAGUGUAGCGGUGAAAUGCGUAGAUAUUAGGAGGAACACCAGUGGCGAAGGCGACUUUCUGGACCGUAACUGACGUUGAGGCACGAAAGUGUGGGGAGCAAACAGGAUUAGAUACCCCUGUA
This 446-nucleotide ribosomal RNA is filed under the name uncultured bacterium. Its description in RNAcentral is "partial 16S ribosomal RNA". It matches the Rfam family "Bacterial small subunit ribosomal RNA", at positions 330 to 792 of the family's 1533-position model. The record is from RNAcentral.